CGGAAUCUUGUUCCGCCUAUCUUUGUCAGAUAUUUUAACUAAAGUUAUUAACAUUGUUUGCCACAAUAAUGAGUUUGAUAUUUGGCAUUCAUGUGACGCCCGGAUAAUUAAGCUACAGUGAACCUCUGUUAAUGAUGCCACGUGACCUCCGUUACUGUUGCUAAUCUCGCGUUAGUUCAAAACCGGUUCGAAAUCCAAAUUCAAGAACAAGCCAAACAAUUAAAGUUUUCAAAAGUCAAAACUCAAAUGUUCUUAUUGUGACAAAUAAUUCAUAAGAUAUAUUGGUGGAGAAAACAAGUCUUUAUAAAAUGUUUAAAUGCACUAGACUAAUUAAAUCAGUAGCUAAAACCAUUAAUUAAAUGCCUUUUAUAUUUUGUAAAAUACUAAGCUAUAAUAUUUUGGGAUGAAACCUUUUGUGGUUGUGACAUAAUUGAAACAUCAAUUUAGGUGCCACUUUGUAUAUUAUCAAAACCAAAAUAAUUAGGAACAAAAAAAACAAAAAGAAUUGUAAAUAAAAAUAAGAAAAAACAAAAGCAAACAAAACAAACAAACAAAAGAGAACCCCCCCCCCUCGCUGGACUUCGGUCCAGCAGGCCACCAGGCCGCCAGGCCAGCCGACCAGCUCACUGGCCCGACUGGCCCAUCNNNNNNNNNNNNNNNNNNNNNNNNNNNNNNNNNNNNNNNNNNNNNNNNNNNNNNNNNNNNNNNNNNNNNNNNNNNNNNNNNNNNNNNNNNNNNNNNNNNNNNNNNNNNNNNNNNNNNNNNNNNNNNNNNNNNNNNNNNNNNNNNNNNNNNNNNNNNNNNNNNNNNNNNNNNNNNNNNNNNNNNNNNNNNNNNNNNNNNNNNNNNNNNNNNNNNNNNNNNNNNNNNNNNNNNNNNNNNNNGCCUCCCUCCUCUCCCCCACCACCUCUCAAUCCCAUCUGGAUUGGGGUGGCGUUCGACCGCGACGCCCCCGCCCGAGGAACCCCAUCGCCCACGCUGUCGCCGCUCCACCCUCGGCUCCUCCUCAUCGGCUCCACCAACCCUCACCGCCCCUUUCCCAGAUCUGGACGUGUCGCUCCCGACCGCGUCGCCCAUCGCCCGAGGACCUCGCUGCCGGACACCCUCACCGCCUCGCCGGAUCGUCGUCCCCGUCCUCCUCCCCACUGGCCUGCUUCCUCUUUGCCAUCGUCCCAGUCGACCACCCCGACCCCGCUGCCCUUUCCCUACGAAUCCUGGUGAGGACCCUGGUCCUCCUCUCUCCCUCGCCCCGCGAUCACGCCUCGCGCGCUCUGGCCUCGUGCUCACCGCGGUCGGGCCGCGCCCUGGCCAUGCGCCGCGCCGUCCGGCCGUGCCCGCCGUCCACGACCACCUGCACACGCCUCGCCCGCCCCUACUCACUACCCCGCGCGGCCUCGACGCUGCCAUCUCCGGCGUCCGUGCGCCCGCGCUGCAUCGGCGCCCUUCCACGCCCGCGGACCCCUUCCCUUGUCGUCGCGGAGGCCGUCGGCGCCUCGCUGCUCCUCUGCCGCCCGGCGCCCACUGCCGGUGCUCGCUCCCGCAUCGGUGCCCGUUCGGGCUAGGCGCCAGCGCCCACACGCCCGUAACCGCACAGCGCGGUGCCCGCUAAGGCCUCUAGGCCACUAACAAACGGGGCCCGCGCCCCUGUAACGUUUAAAAGGAAAAAAAGAAUAUUAAUUAACUUAAUUAAUCAUGUUAAUUAAUCAAAUUAGCCCUGUUAACUAACCUUAAUAACCUAAUUAGAUAAAUAGUCAAUGACAGACGGCCCCCACUGCCCUGUUUGACCGGUCAACGGUCAACGCUGACCGCUGACAUCAUGAUGACGCAAUAAACAUUUUCUAAUUAAAUUAAUUCUGUUAAUUCUAAAAAUGAAUUAAAACUUUUGAAAAUUAAUAUAAAAUAAACCGUAGCUCGCAUGGAAAAACUUUGUACACGAAACUUGCUCAGAACGACGAGAUGAAUCCGGAUACGCAGCCCGUUCGUCCGCCACACAUCCCUAGCAUAGAGAACACACAACUUUCCCCCUCUGGAUCACCUGUCCGAAAACGCGAAACACCGGGGAUACUUUCCCGGAUGUUUCCCCCUUUCGCCGGCAUCACCUACUACCGCGUUAGGGAACACCUAGCACCGCGUAUUGCCAUGUUACGUUUUGUGAUGCUUUGAUUGCUCUGUUAUUUAUUGUGUUCCCCCUCCGUUACUUCUUUCCGGUAGACCUCGAGACUGCCGACGACCCACAGUUCGACUACGGAGUUGAUGACCCCUCCUUGCCAGAGCAACCAGACAAGCCCCCCCCCCUUGAUCACCAGAUAUCGCCUAUUCUUCUCUAUACUGCUUGCAUUAGAGAAGUGUAGCAUGUUACUGUUCGGUUACUCCUAUUCUGUUGCAUAGCAUGUCAUUGUUGCUACAGUCGUUGAUACCUUACCCGCAAUCCUAAAUGCUUAGUAUAGGAUGCUAGUUUAUCAUCAUUGACCCUACAUUCUUGUCAGUCUACCUUGCUAUACUAUCGGGUCGUGAUCACUUGGGAGGUGAUCACGGGUAUAUACUAUACAUACAUACUAUUCAUGUGGUGACUAAAGUCGGGUCAACUCGUUGAGUACCCGCAAGUGAUUUUGAUGUGAGGGCUGGAAGGACAGGUGGCUCCAUCCCGGUAGAGGUGGGCCUGGGUUCCCGACGGCCCCCGACUGUUACUUUGUGGCGGAGCAACAGGGCAGGUUGAGACCACCUAGGUGAGAGGUGGGCCUGGCCCUGGUUCGCGUUCGCGGUUGCUUCAUGAUAACACGCUUAACGAGAUCUUGGUAUUUGAUAUGAGUCUGGCCAUUGGCCUAUACGCACUAACCAACUACGCGGGAAAGAUAUGGACACUCGACGUCGUGGUAUCAGCCGAAGCCUUCGUGACGGCAGCGACUGAGCGGCGCGCGCCGGAUUGGAACGUAAGCCUGCUCUUGUAUUAAGGGGGCUAGUUCUGCUUCCGGCCGCCCACGCAACAUGCAGGUGUGUAAUGGGCGAUGGGCCCAGACCCCUGCGCGCAGAGGACUUAGACCGGCGUGCUGACCUCUCUGUUGUGCCUAGGUGGGGCUGCGACGUGUUGAUCUUCCGAGGUCGGGCAUGACCCAGGAAAGUGUGUCCGGCCAAAUGGGAUCGAGCGUGUUGGGUUAUGUGGUGCACCCCUGCAGGGAAAUUAAUCUAUUCGAAUAGUCAUGUCCCUCGGUAAAUGGACGACACGGAGUUGUACCUUGACCUUAUGACAACUAGAACCGGACACUUAAUAAAACACACCCAGACAAGUUCCACAGACAACCCGGUGAUCGCUUUUCCACAGGGCGACGAAGGGAGGAUCGCCGGGUAGGAUUAUGCUAUGUGAUGAUACUUGGAGGACUUCACUCUAUUCUCUUCUACACGCUGCAAGACGGAGGCUGCCAGAAGCGUAGUCUUCGAUAGGACUAGCUAUCCCCCUCUUAUUCUGGCAUUCUGCAGUUCAGUCCACUCAUAUUGCCUCCUUACACAUAUACCCAUGCAUAUGUAGUGUAGCUCCUUGCUUGCGAGUACUUUGGAUGAGUACUCACGGUUGCUUUGCUCCCUCUUUUCCCCUGUUUUCCUCUUCUUCUCGGAUGCCGCAACCAGAUGUUGGAGCCCAAGAUCCAGACGCCACCGUCGAUGACGACUACUACUCUGGAGGUGCCUACUACUACGUGCAGGCCGCUGACAACGACCUGGAGUAGUUUAGGAGGAUCCCAGGCAGGAGGCAUGCGCCUCUUUCGAUCUGUAUCCCAGUUUGUGCUAGCUAUCUUAUGGCAACUUGUUUACUUAUGUCUGUACUCAGAUAUUGUUGCUUUGCUGACUCGUCUAUGAUCGAGCACUUGUAUUCGAGCCCUCGAGGCCCCUGGCUUGUAUUAUGAUGCUUGUAUGACUUAUUUAUGUUUUAGAGUUGUGUUGUGAUAUCUUCUUGUGAGUCCCUGAUCUUGAUCGUACACGUUUGCGUGCAUGAUUAGUGUAUGAUUGAAUCGGGGGCGUCACAAGUUGGUAUCAGAGCCGACUGCCUGUAGGAAUCCCCCUUUCCAACUCCUUGGUUGUAGUCGAGUCUAGUCAUUGAAAAACUUUUACUAACUUGGCUGUGUGGCUUACGGGCCCACGUCGACAUUGGGUUGUAUUAGGAUCUUUUACUCCUCGUCUAUACUCUGGGACUCUGAUCUCUCUUCUACUCGGGUUAAAUGAAUUUUGCUAACUCUAACAUUAGGAUCUCGUGACCACUUCCACCCGGAGAGCCCCAUGUUACCGAUGACCGCCUGCUGCACCAGAAGAUUCUGAAGAUACUCUACGAUGUGCUCUCGAGGCUAUGUGCCAUCGCUUUUGCAAUUCCCAUCCAUCGAUAAACCUCUAUGGAUAACCACGUACACUUGCCAUUCCUACAAUCUUUCCGUGUUGAUCUUAUCAUUAUAAGAUACCUCGAAAUCCUCUCUAUUGUUCCGAGAAUACUUUGUGCCUACUGCCUUGCUGUUCUUUGCCACGUGAAUACCCCUACGGUAAUUCCUUACACUUAUCGAGAAUCUACUCAUCCCCAGUUAUUCAAGUGUUUCACAAUGGUCUUCAAAAUACUAUUCAAUCCUCCAAAAACCCUCAGCAGUUCUGCUUGCAUUAUGGAUACUUCCCAUAUAUCUGGCAAUAUUCAUUAGUCUCCUUUGACACCGUCAUUUUGAUCCUGUUGAAUCAACAUGAGUGUGAAUGCACGCAAUCAUCAGUUGAUCCUUUUAAAUUGUCUUUCCGUCUUAGACGUCAUUUAGAACAUGAGCUGGUUCUCCACCAAUCAAAUUGCCGAUGAUUGUACCCCUAAGUCUGUACGACUUAUCCGUCCUUUAUCAGAGCUUUUGCUUCUGACCCCUUGAUUUGGAAAUCAUAAUUCAUUUUUCAUUUGAGGUUUGAAUUAGUCAGUUGUUUCUAUAAUCUGAUGCCUUUGCAUUCUUUUUCCUUCUGAUUGAGUAUCGAUACUCACAUCAGAUUCCUUGUGGUCCGCGAGACCAAUUGCUUGGUUAUUAUCCGAUAGUGUCCUUCAUAUCCAAUAACCUUGUUAGUUCUUCCCCUAAUAUAUAAUGCCUUUUGUAAACUGUAUCCUCUGUUUUUGUUAACCACGCUCUGCAUUCGAGCUUGAGUUAUUUUACUCCUGAAGUUUGUGGUAUAUGUUCCUAAGAGGCCCCGAUGGGUUAGACAUAUGCCUUUUCUAAUCUGUGUGAACCCGGAAACUACUACGGGUCAUACUCUACUGGUGUUAUGUCAGUAAAAUUUCAACACCACAACUUCGCUGAAGACGAGAAGUGAAUGAAAGGUUGUGCAUUAAAGAAGUGGGAGUCGACCUUGAACUUUGUGUUCAUGCCCAUGGACCUGAUGUGGAACUUAUCAUGGAAGCUUUUUGCAAAAUAUUUAAUCCUUUGGGCAAUUCUUCCGGUGUCAUUAAAUUGGAUCCCUUGCAGCUAUGGUUCCGACCAUAUUGUUCUUCUUUGAUCCCAUUUCUCGGGCAAGUUUAAGCAUUUGUCUUCUGCGGAUCAAUACCCCACUCCAACCUCUACUUUGAUCUGCCGUCAAGUAUUACACUCUGGUAUCUUGAGAAUAUCAUGGAACUGCAUAACUUCUUAUGGGUUCUUCAUCAACUGUUAAUUCCCGCCACUUCCAGUUUUCCUGGGUUAUGGGUUGUCGUCAACCGGGGACACCAAUUGGUGAAUCGAGUCCGCACUCUGAUUCAAUAACUCUAAGUAAUUCUUGUUUCUUACGAGUUUAAUAAUCCUUCAAGUCAUCCCAAGCCUGAUCGGCUAUAUCACUAUCGUGCUAAAUUUUAACUGUGCUACCGGGUCCUUCUUCCCAGAGCACUAUUUUUGACGACGAGCUAAGCUUACGUCGAUCUUUCCUCAUCAUAUCAUUUCGCUUUGGACGACAAGCUUGUUUUGGAGUUUGUGCCUUACCCAUGGUUCUAAUAACCUUUUGCUUCAUCAUUCAUUAGACUUGUUGUCAUCGCUGAUCGAUUACAUCUUCAUGAAAUCUCUCGACAAAAUGUGCCGUGAUCAUCGUCAACAUCUUAACUUCAUCCGAGGUAUCAAUCGAAUUCAUGAUGGUAAGUGCCAUCCUCGUCGCUUGGUAAUUGAGUUGCCAUUGACAACAUCUUUACCUUCCUUUCAUCACAAACUUGUUCAUGUUAUGGAUGCAACUUGCUAUCCAGUUUGUAUUAUGUUCUACCUUGAAGUAUUACUAUCCUUAAAUGUCAAAAAAAUAUUACUGUCCUUUAUGUCAAGGAUGUUGAGAGAAUUGCUCCAACUAUUAAUUCUUGAUAUAGUAAUACUUAUCGCCAUCCCCGUUCAUUUCUUGGUCCCGUGUUGCUUCCAACCGGAAUAAUAAUAGGUGAAUGGUGCCGUUUGGAUUUUGCCCUUCUAUCAACCCAAUUGCUACGAAGUUAAUGGUCGAUAAUUCAUUCUUAGACCAUUGGUUAUCGAAUCACCAUUAUAGCAUCGGUCAUGCUACCUAAGCCAUAUUUCAGGUGCAACUUUCAACCAAUGUUUAAGUGUGUAUGUUUUUCCUCGAGCAUACAUCAUUAUAUCAUUUGAUAUGACAAAUGUUAUCUCCUUGAUCACAUAAUUGUGGAAAUCCAUCUUUUUGGAAAUCUUGAUGCUAUGUCGCUGAGUCCAUCAGCCACCUCCUCAUCCUCGCCUUAGUUUAAUGAUGAACUAUUGUUUCACGAACCCGCUCCCAUAGUUCAUUUCUCGAGGAACUUGCAAUGUCAUUUCGUCAAUUUGUGUUGCACCUUUCUCUUCUCAGGCAUCCUGACUCUGAGGUAUCCUAACACCAAUCAAAUUUGAAUCUCGGUCAGAUAUGAUGGUUGGAACAUAUUUCCAGGAGUUAUAACAUUGGUCUUUAUAUGACCCGGCAAGGUGAUGUCUUGCCUAGCACACCUGGCCGAAGGGCCUAUUAUUAUAGUUCCAUUUUGGCAAGGUUAGCCAUUUCUUCCAUGAGGGAAUUGUAAAAAUUAUUCUAUAAGUUGUUCCUGAUGGAUCCUUUGUGUAUCCAAAGUCUGACCUUUGCUUGAAGACCAUGCCAAUGCUAUCUUGAAGCAUGUCUGUGGUACUUCGAUUUUCAAUAAGAGAAUUUGAAGAACAAUGCUAAAUUUUCUUUGUCCAUUAUCCAAAUACCGUUGUUUGGGUAAUGUCAUAAAAUUUCUCUCCCCUUACCUAAAUGGUUUUCUACGUUAUAUCUUGCCAUGGAUAUCAUGCUCUGCUUCUCCUUGGAAAGGGUGUACCCCUGGUAUAUGUGUCAAACACCUUUUCCUUUCCAUUGUUCUAUUUGAUCCGAUUAUCACAUUUUCCUUUCCAUUGAUUUAUUUAACCUUCCUUGUGAUCCAUAUGAUCUAAGCAGUAAUAUUCUUUUGCUUAUGUACACACGUUGGUGUACAACCGUGUCAGUAAGACCCUGUUGCAUUUGUCGAUAACAUUCCGGUAACAACCGAUGGGCGAGAACUUUGCCACUUGGUUUGCCUCGUUCAACGAGCAGGAAAAUUGCUCUCUUCGUUCCCCGUCCUUGGUACCGACAUUGUUGCCGGCAUAGCUGACAAGCUAUUCACUGACAUGCCUCCCUGUCGCGGCUGUGGAAGAUGUCACCACCCUUCCUACUUUCAACCCACAUGGUGGGCCCAUAACCACAACUCCACAGGAUCGAAACCUGACUCUCCUGUACACCCCCGUUUCCAAAGUUAUUCCUCGUGCAUGACCUCAUAUGUCAUUCACGGGCCACCUUCCUAGUGAUCUAUUCUGGUAACAGACGCAAUACUCAAUCUUGUCGCUCUGGACCCCUUUCGCCCGUUGUUUCUGACAUCGAACGAUUGCCUAUCCGUUUGAAACUUCUCAUGGUACCUUCUUACUUUGCUCUUGAUAUCUUCUUAAGUUUCAAUUCGAGAGGCACUUAUGCUUCUUCCCCUAAGUUAACCGUUCGAUGCUCAAUCUUGUUUGAACCCGUCCUUAUAGAGCUUUCCCCCUCUUAUCCUUUCGUAAGUUCGGUGAAGAUCCUGAAGGAAGGACGACAACUUCAUCAUGAUGCAUUGAUACAUAGGAAUGAAGACAUCAAUGCUAUGGAUCGACCUCUUCGAGAAGAACAACCAAGACCGAGAAGAUUUGUUACAUUCGUAACCAGACCUUUUCCCCGUUUUCCACCUCUUAAAUCUCGGGACGAGAUUUCUUGUAGUGGAGGAGAAUUGUGACGCCCAGAUAAUUAAGCUAUAGUGAACCUCUGUUAAUGAUGCCACGUGACCUCCGUUACUGUUGCUAAUCUCACGUUAGUUCAAAACGGGUUCAAAAUCCAAAUUCAAGAACAAGCCAAACAAUUAAAGUUUUCAAAAGUCAAAACUAAAAUGUUCUUAUUGUGACAAAUAAUUCAUAAGAUAUAUUGGUGGAGAAAACAAGUCUUUAUAAAAUGUUUAAAUGCACUAGACUAAUUAAAUCAGUAGCUAAAACCAUUAAUUAAAUGCCUUUUAUAUUUUGUAAAAUACUAAGCUAUAAUAUUUUUGGAUGAAACAUUUUGUGGUUGUGACAUAAUUGAAACAUCAAUUUAGGUGCCACUUUGUAUAUUAUCAAAACCAAAAUAAUUAGGAACAAAAAAACAGAAAAGAAUUGUAAAGAAAAAUAAGAAAAAAC
RNAcentral lists this long non-coding RNA (8660 nucleotides) under Triticum aestivum (bread wheat). Its description in RNAcentral is "long non-coding RNA (TAES_LNC003714)". Lineage: Eukaryota; Viridiplantae; Streptophyta; Magnoliopsida; Poales; Poaceae. The record is from RNAcentral.